CUCUGUGAGCAUAUUGUACUUUUGUUUGUACACCCACGGGAGCAAGACCUUUUCCUUUGCUCAAAAUAGAAGCCAUUUUGCUUGUUGAGUUGGAGAUUACCCUACAACGUCUUCAGUUAGAGGAUUAAUGUUGGGAGGAAAAAAGAAUGACAGCAGGCUAGUACAAUUGGAUUUGCUGGAUGAGAAGAGGAAAUGGGCAUAAAUCAUUCAUAGGGGCUUACACGAAGAAAGUGAAAGUUCGAGUAUUCAGCCUAGAAGAGUUUGGUAUGAAAAGUUAGAGACCCUAUUGGAACGCAUGGCACUAACUCGAAGUUUGCGAGAAACUAUGAAGGGCCUUUUGUCGUCACCGAGUUGUUUUCAAAUGGUGGAUACAAACUCUGAACCUUAGAUGGGCAACCCCUUCUGAGCAUUGUAAACGGUGAUUGGUUAAAGAAGUUCUAUCAAUAAAAAGAAUAUUCUCUUUUCGAGAUCUCUCGAGUGUUAUUGUGUUUUUUAAGUCUUUUUUCUU
This 508-nucleotide long non-coding RNA is filed under the name Phoenix dactylifera (date palm). RNAcentral's name for it is "long non-coding RNA (PDAC_LNC022130)". The record is from RNAcentral. Lineage: Eukaryota; Viridiplantae; Streptophyta; Magnoliopsida; Arecales; Arecaceae.